GUGGGGAAUCUUGCGCAAUGGGCGAAAGCCUGACGCAGCCAUGCCGCGUGAAUGAUGAAGGUCUUAGGAUUGUAAAAUUCUUUCACCGGGGACGAUAAUGACGGUACCCGGAGAAGAAGCUCCGGCUAACUUCGUGCCAGCAGCCGCGGUAAUACGAAGGGGGCUAGCGUUGCUCGGAAUUACUGAGCGUAAAGGGCGCGUAGGCGGACAGCUUAGUCAGAGGUGAAAGCCCAGGGCUCAACCUUGGAAUUGCCUUUGAUACUGGCUGUCUUGAGUUUGGGAGAGGUGAGUGGAACUCCGAGUGUAGAGGUGAAAUUCGUAGAUAUUCGGAAGAACACCAGUGGCGAAGGCGACUCACUGGCCCAAUACUGACGCUGAGGCGCGAAAGCGUGGGGAGCAAACAGGAUUAGAAACCCUAGUAGUCC
RNAcentral lists this ribosomal RNA (425 nucleotides) under uncultured bacterium. RNAcentral's name for it is "partial 16S ribosomal RNA". It matches the Rfam family "Bacterial small subunit ribosomal RNA", at positions 354 to 796 of the family's 1533-position model. The record is from RNAcentral.